This is a non-coding RNA of Cicer arietinum (chickpea), 689 nucleotides long. Lineage: Eukaryota; Viridiplantae; Streptophyta; Magnoliopsida; Fabales; Fabaceae. The record is from RefSeq and is a predicted model, not a curated record.
AAAUAGAUAAAUAAUUUGUUUGAUCACUACCUAGUUUGUUGUUGUCUGAUGUAGGUUGAUGUGGUCGUUGUAGUGUUGCAAUAGAGUUUUUUUAUGUGAAUUACAAUCACACCACAAUUAUGGUAUUAGGCAGUUGGUCACUGCUGGGACCAAUAUUGUGGCCGCAUCACGUGAUGCAGUUUGUAAUUUAAAUAACCGAUUUGUCUCUUUGAAUGUUGCUUCUCUCUCCGUUGGGUCCUCUCUUCGCUCUUAGCUAUUGCUUAUUCUUUGGUUGCUCCUCUCACUUGUUAUGAUAUUAGUUGAUUUUCGAUCUCUUAUAUUUUAGCUUUUUCAAUACUUUUGUUAAUCCUAUUUAUAUUUUAGUUUGGUAUUGGAGAAAUCAAGCUCGAUUUGAAGGACUUUCAAAUUCUCAAUGUAUUACAAGUUGGAGCCCAUCCUCCUAAAGUGCCUAUUAUCAAAGAGGUGGUCUGGCGUCCCCCAAACAACAUUGGAUUAAAUGUAAUAUUGAUGGUGAUGCAUCUGAAUGUUUUCCCUUCACUGUAGUUUUAUCCGUACAAGGUUUUUUGAUAAAGUUUUUAAUGAGGCAGUACUUUGUGUAUUCUUGAUGAUUAUUUUCUUGGAUUUUGGUAUAGCCUCCCAAGCAUCUAAUAUUUUAUUUUAUUUUAGAGUGCUACAAAUGAUACGUGAUU